Molecule: ribosomal RNA, 254 nt
Filed under: uncultured bacterium
Lineage: Bacteria
Description: partial 16S ribosomal RNA
Rfam family: Bacterial small subunit ribosomal RNA
Source: RNAcentral
UACGUAGGGUGCAAGCGUUGUCCGGAAUUAUUGGGCGUAAAGAGCUCGUAGGCGGUUUGUCGCGUCUGCUGUGAAAUCCCGAGGCUCAACCUCGGGUCUGCAGUGGGUACGGGCAGGCUAGAGUGCGGUAGGGGAGAAUGGAACUCCUGGUGUAGCGGUGGAAUGCGCAGAUAUCAGGAAGAACACCGAUGGCGAAGGCAGUUCUCUGGGCCGUAACUGACGCUGAGGAGCGAAAGCGUGGGGGAGCGAACAGG